Drosophila ananassae is the source of this 1558-nucleotide long non-coding RNA. RefSeq lists it as uncharacterized. The transcript has 2 exons. The record is from RefSeq and is a predicted model, not a curated record. NCBI's taxonomy places the organism in Eukaryota, Metazoa, Arthropoda, Insecta, Diptera, Drosophilidae.
CUUAUCCUGGGCCCCAACAAGUAGGCUUUUGUUGGCUUUCCCUUGGAACCUAAAUAAAAUUUUCAUGAAUUCCAGUCAGUAUUCGUUCGGGUCUCAAUCGGGCAAGUUGUCUAAUUUUCUAUUUAUUUUUAUUUAGAAAUUUUUGUAUAAAAAUGUAUUAAAAAUUAACCAAAAUAAAAAUUAUAAGGAAGUGUAUUAGGGCGGCCAACGGUGUUGUUGUUAGCCAGGAUCUGGAAGAAGAACAACAACACCAACGGCCGCCCGUCCGUCCUUGGAGGCAGGGAAGCGAUGCUGCAGGUGCAUCGCGGCAUCAAAAGGAUCGAGGACUGUGGCGCGUUGUGCCCGGGAGGACGACGACUGAGGGAGGGAGGGAAGUGCCCGCCUGGCACGCGCGCUGCAUCCUUGAGACUCGUAAAUAAACCAGCGGAGGGGCACGUGCCGACUGCACCUAAUUGAACAAAAAGCGUGCCCCUCCACCAGAUCCACCAGGAUCUGCCACAUCAAUACAAUAACACAGUCCUUUGUCCUUUGGUGAGGCAGCUGCCGAGAAAGGAUGGGACACAUGGUGGUGGGAGGGGCAUGGUGCUGACUGCACCUAUUUGGAAGAAAAGCAUGCCCCUCCAAGUGAAGGAUCAAGAAGCAGGACACCCACAACCCACAAAUCCAAUAGGAGGGGCACGCUCCGACUGCACCUACUUGAACGAAUAGCGUGCCCCUCCUCGGAUGGUAUUCCGAGGGAGGUAGCGACUGACUCCGCCUAUUUGAACGUAAUACGCCCCCUCCAGUCGGAGGAGCCAUCCCCACCAGGAACCAAAACCACACGAGCGAAGAACCCAUCGGAGGGGCACGUGCUGACUGCACCUAUGGAACUGAAAAGUGCCUCUCCGAUCGGAGGAUGCAGCAGGAUAAACUAUGGUCCUGGAUAUACAGGACACCCACAAAAGAAGAGACCUUCCAGGAUCCAGGAUCUUCCAGGAUAAACUAUUCAAGACUCUAUGAGGAGGAUACCCCAUAGGAGGGGCACGUGCUGACUGCACCUAUGGAACUGAAAAGUGCCCCUCCGAACGGAGGAUCUAUAAGGAUAAGCUAUAGUCCUGGAUAUACAAGGAUAUACUACUACAUACAAGACACCCACAAAAGGAAGACCAUCGGAGGGGCACAAAAUCCAAAUUUUGAACGUAUUUAAGAAGAAUCUAGUCUAGUGGACUAAAGUGCCCCUCCGAUGGGAGGAUCCAACUACACAGACAUCAAACACUACCUGAAGAAGCGACGUCAUUGUCCUCGGCCUGGGCCCAGACUCAGAGGCUGUUUCUUCAAAGAGAUCAUGGGCAGAACUACAAGGAUGAUGGGGACCAAGACCUGUUCUUUAAUACCGAAAAUGCAAGCUGCAUUUCUGCGGUUUGGUGGCUUGUGCCAACCAGGCAUACACUGAACAAAAGACAGAGGACUAUUUUAAAAAACAAUGCAGUGUAGUAAUGGGCCGUACAUCAAACACUUGACAGUAAGAAAAGUUGUAGAUUUUUGUAAAAAAAAUAAUAAAAAUGAAUAUAAUUCUAUA